This 253-nucleotide ribosomal RNA is filed under the name uncultured bacterium. RNAcentral describes it as "partial 16S ribosomal RNA". It matches the Rfam family "Bacterial small subunit ribosomal RNA", at positions 524 to 776 of the family's 1533-position model. The record is from RNAcentral.
UACAGAGGUCCCAAGCGUUGUUCGGAUUUACUGGGCGUAAAGGGUGCGUAGGUGGUCGGGUAAGUCUCAUGUGAAAUCUCCAAGCUUAACUUGGAAAUGGCAUGGGAUACUAUUCGGCUAGAGGAUUGGAGGGGGGACUGGAAUUCCCGGUGUAGCAGUGAAAUGCGUAGAUAUCGGGAGGAAUACCGGUGGCGAAGGCGGCAUCCUGGACCGACAUUGACGCUGAACGGCGAAAGCUAGGGGAGCAAACGGG